AUCAUCACUGUCAACUUACGACGAAGUGGAAAAAUGUGUGCAUGAGCUGUUUAUUUGGUGAUUACAACGUAUAUAGAAGCCCUCUUUCCAAUAAUAUUCGCUUAUCGCACAGAAUAACCAUCCAAGUUGAAUGGUUAUGCCGAAGACAGUCAACGGCAUAACCAUCAAAGUUGAAUGGUUAUGCCGAAGAGACAGUCAACGGCAUAACCAUCCAAUGUUUAUGCCGAA
This is a non-coding RNA of Paramuricea clavata, 228 nucleotides long. Lineage: Eukaryota; Metazoa; Cnidaria; Anthozoa; Malacalcyonacea; Plexauridae. The record is from the annotation of a GenBank genome assembly.